This 522-nucleotide ribosomal RNA is filed under the name uncultured bacterium. RNAcentral's name for it is "bacterial SSU rRNA". It matches the Rfam family "Bacterial small subunit ribosomal RNA", at positions 8 to 526 of the family's 1533-position model. The record is from RNAcentral.
AGAGUUUGAUCAUGGCUCAGGAUGAACGCUAGCGGCAGGCCUAAUACAUGCAAGUCGAACGGUAAGUAUUUUAGCAAUAGGAUACGAGAGUGACGUACGGGUGCGUAACACGUAUGCAACCUACCCAAAACAGGAGGAUAGCUCAGGGAAACUUGGAUUAACCCUCCAUAAGAUCGUGCUAUGGCAUCAUGGAGCGAUAAAAACCGCGAGGUGGUUUUGGAUGGGCAUGCGUAUGAUUAGUUAGUUGGUGGUGUAACGGACCACCAAGACGAUGAUCAUUAGGGGACCUGAGAGGGUGAUCCCCCACACUGGCACUGAGAUACGGGCCAGACUCCUACGGGAGGCAGCAGUAGGGAAUAUUGGUCAAUGGAUGCAAGUCUGAACCAGCCAUGCCGCGUGCAGGAAGACGGCCUUCUGGGUUGUAAACUGCUUUUGCCAGGGGAUAAAAGGCCAUGCGUGGGACAUUGAAGGUACCUGGUGAAUAAGCCACGGCUAACUACGUGCCAGCCGCCGCGGUAAUUC